AUGGGCGAAAGCCUAUGCAGCGACGCCGCGUGAGGGAUGACGGCCUUCGGGUCGUAAACUCUUUCACCAGGACGAAGCUAACGUGACGGUACCUGGAGAAGAAGCACCGGCUAACUACGUGCCAGCAGCCGCGGUAAUACGUAGGGUGCGAGCGUUGUCCGGAAUUAUUGGGCGUAAAGAGCUUGUAGGCGGUUUGUCGCGUCUGCUGUGAAAGACCGGGGCUUAACUCCGGUUCUGCAGUGGGUACGGGCAGACUAGAGUGUGGUAGGGGAGACUGGAAUUCCUGGUGUAGCGGUGAAAUGCGCAGAUAUCAGGAGGAACACCGAUGGCGAAGGCAGGUCUCUGGGCCAUUACUGACGCUGAGAAGCGAAAGCAUGGGGAGCGAACAGGAUUAGAUACCCUGGUAGUCCAUGCCGUAAACGUUGGGCGCUAGGUGUGGGACUCAUUCCACGAGUUCCGUGCCGCAGCUAACGCAUUAAGCGCCCCGCCUGGGGAGUACGGCCGCAAGGCUAAAACUCAAAGGAAUUGACGGGGGCCCGCACAAGCGGCGGAGCAUGCGGAUUAAUUCGAUGCAACGCGAAGAACCUUACCAAGGCUUGACAUACACCGGAAUCAUGCAGAGAUGUGUGCGUCUUCGGACUGGUGUACAGGUGGUGCAUGGUUGUCGUCAGCUCGUGUCGUGAGAUGUUGGGUUAAGUCCCGCAACGAGCGCAACCCUCGUUCCAUGUUGCCAGCACUUCGGGUGGGGACUCAUGGGAGACUGCCGGGGUCAACUCGGAGGAAGGUGGGGAUGACGUCAAAUCAUCAUGCCCCUUAUGUCUUGGGCUUCACGCAUGCUACAAUGGCCGGUACAGAGGGUUGCGAAACCGUGAGGUGGAGCUAAUCCCAAAAAACCGGUCUCAGUUCGGAUUGGGGUCUGCAACUCGACCCCAUGAAGUCGGAGUCGCUAGUAAUCGCAGAUCAGCAACGCUGCGGUGAAUACGUUCCCGGGCCUUGUACACACCGCCAGUCAAGUCACGAAAGUCGGUAACACCCGAAGCCGGUGGCCUAACCCUUGUGGGGGAGCCGUCGAA
Molecule: ribosomal RNA, 1073 nt
Filed under: Dermacoccus nishinomiyaensis
Lineage: Bacteria; Bacillati; Actinomycetota; Actinomycetes; Micrococcales; Dermacoccaceae
Description: bacterial SSU rRNA
Rfam family: Bacterial small subunit ribosomal RNA
Source: RNAcentral